UGAAUUAUCAAAUUGAAUACAUUGGGUGACUUUUCUCAGAAGUUUGUAUCCCCAUAAUUUGUCAUCUGUAGUUUGGUGGCAUGUGCUUGGAAAUUGCAAUUGCAGCUGUCAUAAAGUUUGCUUCUCUAUAAACGUGGUUAAAAGAGAUGGUGCUGAAACCUUGUGCAAUUUUCUUGAUGUCUCAGACAAUUUGUUGAAUCCUCUAAGAACGUGGACUGAUUUUCUCAUUAACUACAUAAAUGACUAUUUUUGAAGGAAGCAAAUUUGCCGACCACAUUUUUUUGUCCACCCUUGUGUCCACCCACCUAAUCUAAUAUCAAAUGUUCGCUCUCUUAACCAGUUCUAACCAUGGUUACAAUAUAAAAUUGUAAUAAAUGAAUUAUGUUUUAUAUUGCAGUAACUUAUGAUUUGGAGGAUGCUCCGUUCAUUGAUCGAGUAACUUAACUUGACUGAAGUUUGAUUGAUCGAGUGCCUUAACUUGACUUUAUGAUUUGGAGGAUGCUCCGUUCAUUGCAGUAAGGAGGUCAUAUAUAUAAUCAUUGGAGCGAAUCCAGCUUGAAGCAUGUACGAUCGAGUUGACUUUAUGCAUUGAGCGAAUCCAGCUUGAAGCCAACCUGCAAAUAAAAACUCAAGCCCAUAGUUAAAGAAAACUCAAUAUAAGCUAAUUAAAGAAAACAUAAUUUAUUUAUUACAAUUUUAUAUCAUAACCAUGGUUAGAGCUAGUUAAGAGAAAAUACACUUGGUAUUAAAAUAGGUGGGUGGCAUAAAAACAUGAUCGGCAAAUUUGCUUCCUUUUUUUAUCCUCUUCUAGUAACUUUAGCGUUGAGUAGGGUGUCUCAUAAGACAAUUAAUGCUUCUGACUAUUGGAAUUGAUCGAUCAACAUCUUCUAUGAUCUUCGCACAAACAUGCAUGUUUAUCUAUAAGGAUGGGGAUAAACUCGAUCAUAUUAAUUCAAUGGAGUGUGGGAUAUGACUUUACAAAUGUCCCGUAGGCCGUAGGAGGAAAAUGACGCGAGUGCAAAGCAACAAAUUCUACAUAAUAGCCUGCCCUACCAUGGGAGUGAGUAGGUGCAUUUCAACUAAUGCAAAUCCAAGUAUAUAAAUAUAUAUAAGGAUAGAGAGCGGACGUCCACACUUUGGCUUAAAGUGCGGACGUCCGCUCUACAUCCGGCCUGUAUAUAUAUAUAUCUAAUUGAUCUUGCUCAAAAGAAAAAACAUAUCUGAUUGAAACCAUCCCGUGAGCUAUAUAUAUAUUACUGUCGAUGGGGUAUAGUUUCCCACAUUUAUAUGACCUAGUGACGUAAGGAGGGACGCAUAUAGGGCACAUAUAUGAUCCAUAGUUUUCGUACGUUAGCUUCUAUGUUUUUGUAUCUGGACUUGAUUUGGGUCUCUAAAUCUAAAACAACAAAUGUAGAGACAUGUGAGUUGUUAGCAUGCAAAGUCUGUCAACAUAAUCGUGUGAAAAGUCCCCCGAUUCAAACUCCUAUUGCGGCUACGUUGUCCUCUUCUCUUCUACCUCUUCUUUCCCACUCGUAAGUUUGAACAGUAAAAUCAUAGUGUACCCUAGAAUUUAGAUGUCAUUUUAGAUUUUUGACGAAGCUAUUUUAACUGUUCCAAGUAUAUGUUACUGUACAAUUUGAUGGUCUAAUUUGAGCACUGGAAUACUGGAUGGUUCAUAGUGAAAGGUCUAUCAUAUUCACUUGUACGUGCACUCAGUUUUCCACAUCCCUUGAAAUCUUCUUCGAUGAAGACUUGAGAUCGAGUACCUAACACGUAUAUUGACUAUGUGGACUCAAAUUCUUACUUAAUUGAAACGUACUCUUCUCGAUAAACCUUAUCGCAAAAAAACAAAACCAAAUAAAGCAUUACUAGCUAGUUUAUACUUUCUUGUCCAGAAAGAAAAAGAAAAGAAAACGUGGGGGUCUCAGAAAAUGAUCCCUAGCUCUUUCUCACUCGCUCACUCUUCUUGCAGCUUCGAGGCCAAGAAGUCUCUAU
RNAcentral lists this long non-coding RNA (1995 nucleotides) under Fragaria vesca (wild strawberry). RNAcentral describes it as "long non-coding RNA (FVES_LNC003053)". The record is from RNAcentral. Lineage: Eukaryota; Viridiplantae; Streptophyta; Magnoliopsida; Rosales; Rosaceae.